CAGUCGCCGCGGGAACACGAAGGGGGCUAGCGUUGUUCGGAAUCACUGGGCGUAAGGCGCACGUAGGCGGAUACUUAAGUCAGGGGUGAAAUCCCGGGGCUCAACCUCGGAACUGCCUUUGAUACUGGGUAUCUUGAAUCCGGGAGUGGUUGGUGGGACUCCGAGUGUAGAGGUGAAAUUCGUAGAUAUUCGGAAGAACACCAGUGGCGAAGGCGGCCAACUGGCCCGGUACUGACGCUGAGGUGCGAAAGCAUGGGGAGCAAACAGGAUUAGAUACCCCAGUAGUCCCUGUCUCUUAUAC
RNAcentral lists this ribosomal RNA (301 nucleotides) under uncultured bacterium. Its description in RNAcentral is "partial 16S ribosomal RNA". It matches the Rfam family "Bacterial small subunit ribosomal RNA", at positions 509 to 807 of the family's 1533-position model. The record is from RNAcentral.